Vulpes vulpes (red fox) is the source of this 135-nucleotide small nucleolar RNA. Ensembl annotates it as small nucleolar RNA, H/ACA box 5A. The record is from Ensembl. Lineage: Eukaryota; Metazoa; Chordata; Mammalia; Carnivora; Canidae.
CGCAGCUAUGUCAAAUUCGAUGCCUGCCUAUCCUGUGGCCGGCACUGGUCCAAAAGGCUGCCACAGCAACACUGUGACCCAUGGGCCCUGAUUCCCAGCACUGGGCCUCAGGGAUAAAUCUGAUCACAGACACCA